AGAAUCAACGCUGGCGGCGUGCCUAACACAUGCAAGUCGAACGAGAAAGUGGAGCAAUCCAUUAGUAAAGUGGCGCACGGGUGAGUAACACGUGACUAACCUACCCUUGAGUGGGGGAUAACCUAGAGAAAUCUGGGCUAAUACCGCAUAAUACCUUCGGGUCAAAGGAGCAAUUCGCUUAAGGAGGGGGUCGCGGCCGAUUAGUUAGUUGGCGGGGUAAUGGCCCACCAAGACUAUGAUCGGUAUCCGGCCUGAGAGGGCGCACGGACACACUGGAACUGAAACACGGUCCAGACUCCUACGGGAGGCAGCAGUGGGGAAUUUUGCGCAAUGGGGGAAACCCUGACGCAGCAACGCCGCGUGGAGGAUGAAGCCCCGUUGGGGCGUAAACUCCUUUCGAUCGGACGAUAAUGACGGUACCGAGAGAAGUAAGCCCCGGCUAACUUCGUGCCAGCAGCCGC
This 461-nucleotide ribosomal RNA is filed under the name uncultured bacterium. Its description in RNAcentral is "SSU rRNA". It matches the Rfam family "Bacterial small subunit ribosomal RNA", at positions 26 to 518 of the family's 1533-position model. The record is from RNAcentral.